GACGAACGCUGGCGGCGUGCCUAAUACAUGCAAGUCGAACGCAGUGGGGACGGGUGGGUAACACGUGGGUAACCUCCCAUCAGAGGGGAUCACACUGGGAAAAAGGUGCUAAACCGAUACUGAUGGAUGGACCCGCGGUGCAUUAGCUAGUUGGUGAGGUAACGGCUCACCAAGGCCACGAUGCAUAGCCGCCCGGGGAGGGUGAUCGGCCACACUGGGACUGAGACACGGCCCAGACUCAUACGGGAGGCAGCAGUAGGGAAUCUUCGGCAAUGGACGAAAGUCGGACCGAGAAACGCCGGGUGAGUGAAGAAGGUUUUCGGAUCGUAAAACUCUGUUGUUAGAGAAGCGGUAUCUAACCAGAAAGCCACGGCUAACUACGUGCCAGCAGCCGCGGUAAUAC
RNAcentral lists this ribosomal RNA (403 nucleotides) under uncultured bacterium. RNAcentral describes it as "partial 16S ribosomal RNA". It matches the Rfam family "Bacterial small subunit ribosomal RNA", at positions 28 to 526 of the family's 1533-position model. The record is from RNAcentral.